GCGGAAGUACUCAAGUUGGUGACGAGGCGCCCCUGCUAAGGGCGUAGGCCGGGAAACCGGUGCGAGAGUUCGAGUCUCUCCUUCCGCGCCA
RNAcentral lists this transfer RNA (91 nucleotides) under Oscillospiraceae bacterium. RNAcentral's name for it is "tRNA-Ser". It matches the Rfam family "tRNA". From Rfam's summary of the family: Transfer RNA (tRNA) molecules are approximately 80 nucleotides in length. Their secondary structure includes four short double-helical elements and three loops (D, anti-codon, and T loops). The record is from RNAcentral. Lineage: Bacteria; Bacillati; Bacillota; Clostridia; Eubacteriales; Oscillospiraceae.